UCUCCCUGUACCAACAGAUGUAAGCCCAUUAAUUAACUGAGCCUUAACUUGUCAGUUAACUGAGUUUAUUCUAAAACCUUUCUUUUUGACUGCACAGACUCAACCGCUGACCUGAGCUCCAAGCUGUGGAACCUGUUCCUGAGAUCAGAGGAAGCUUUCUGGAGCUGAUGGAAAUCUCUGAAAUGAAGAGCUCAGGGGAUUCCUGCAUUCGUGUGCAAAAACAGAAAACUGCCUUCAUCUCUCAUCUGUUUGGAAAGUGCUUCUCUUGCUGGCCAGGAAACCAGGCAGGUGGGCAGAUAUUUCUUUCCAAAAUUUUCAGUUGCACUAUAUUCAGCCAGGUAUGAGGCUAACUUGUGUACAUAACAUUUCCAUUCAUUUGUCGUCACCCCCCUCUCAAGCUACUCAUUUAAGAAUCAUAUUUUUGAUUGAUUGCACCAGUCCUAUUUGCCUAGUUCUCUCUCUUUUUUUAAAUGCUCCACCUUGUUCCGUUGUUU
This 494-nucleotide long non-coding RNA is filed under the name Cairina moschata (Muscovy duck). RNAcentral describes it as "domestica (muscovy Duck (domestic type)) lncRNA (ENSCMMG00000002053.1)". The record is from RNAcentral. Lineage: Eukaryota; Metazoa; Chordata; Aves; Anseriformes; Anatidae.